This 4226-nucleotide unclassified non-coding RNA is filed under the name Hevea brasiliensis (rubber tree). The record is from RNAcentral. Lineage: Eukaryota; Viridiplantae; Streptophyta; Magnoliopsida; Malpighiales; Euphorbiaceae.
CCCCAUGCUUGCACUUCUUUCCACUUGGAAAUGUGAUCACUCCAUUUAUGAUAGGCUGGCAAAAAGAAAAAUAAAGAAAUCGAAGGAUAAAGACAUCAAAAAGGGGGAAAAUAAUAAAAGUGUCAAAAGAAAAUAAAAUUAAACCCUUUAUUAAGAGCAAUUUUUCUUUCGAACGGAAGAAAUGCUUGUAAUUAAGAACAAUGGAGAGGAGCAGAGGCAGGCAGAGAGCAGAUAAUAUAGAUAUUUGUGAUCUUUUUUUUUUCCUUUUUUUAUUUCACUUUCUUUCUCUCAAAAUAUAUUACCGUAAUCACUAAUUGAUCUUCUCUCUCAAUAGAAAUUUCAUACUCUCUCUCGACUCUUUUCUCUUAGCAAAGCAUGUCUUGCUACUUCUCUGUAUAUCAUUGUACUCAGACAGAUCGAUUUCUAGCAUUUUAGUGCCACUGACGAGAAGAUUGCCUACCAGGGCAUGAACAUCUUCAAGAGGCUAUAUUUGGACUUCCCCAUCACAGCUCCAUCAUUUCUGAUCGGAGAGCUGAAAGAUGGACAGGAACAGGUUGGAUUUAAGAUUGCAUCACUCUGGAUCAACACAAUCUGAGGAAUCAGCGUUAGAUUUGGAAAGAAACUGUUGCAAUCAUCCUAAUUUGCACUGGUCAAGUCCAUCUUCACUUCAGCCCUUUGCAUCAGGUGGUCAACACUCUGAAAGUAAUGCUGCCUACUUCUCUUGGCCUACUCUGAGUCGAUUAAAUGAUACAGCAGAAGAUAGAGCAAACUAUUUUGGAAACCUUCAGAAGGGGGUGCUGCCAGAAACUCUUGGGAGGUUGCCAUCAGGGCAGCAAGCCACCACCUUGCUCGAGCUGAUGACCAUUAGGGCAUUUCAUAGUAAAAUCUUGCGCCGGUUUAGUCUUGGCACAGCAAUUGGGUUUAGGAUUCGACGGGGUGUCUUGACAGAUAUUCCAGCUAUUCUUGUCUUUGUUGCCCGGAAAGUUCAUAGGCAAUGGCUAAGCCAUGCCCAGUGCCUACCUGCUGCCCUUGAGGGACCAGGAGGUGUAUGGUGUGAUGUGGAUGUUGUUGAAUUCUCAUAUUAUGGAGCGCCUGCACCAACUCCAAAAGAACAAUUGUACACAGAACUUGUAGAUGGGUUAAGGGGUAGUGAUCCAUGCAUUGGUUCUGGUUCCCAGGUUGCUAACCAGGAGACAUAUGGAACCCUGGGUGCCAUUGUGAAAAGCCGAACAGGAAAUCGACAGAUUGGUUUUCUUACAAAUCGGCAUGUUGCAGUUGAUCUGGAUUACCCAAACCAGAAAAUGUUCCAUCCUUUGCCACCUAGCCUUGGACCUGGGGUGUACUUGGGUGCUGUGGAGAGAGCAACCUCAUUUAUUACCGAUGAGCUUUGGUAUGGCAUCUUUGCUGGAACAAACCCAGGUAAUGUAGUUCCAUAUUGUAGAAUUCAUUUAAGGUAUUACCUGCAUCUAUUUUGGCUUACCAUAAGUUCGUAUCUAUGUAAUCUUCCUCCAAAGAGAUCAUGUUCAAGACCCUUCUUGUCAAGCGAAAGAAGGUGUUGCCUUACUGGUUCACCGUAAUGUUUAAAAAGGAAAUUUUUGGAGAUGAAUGGGACUUUUUCUUAAAGAAAGUAAUUUUAAGAAGGGGGGAGGGGUGAGGGCUCAGAAGGUAGAAGAGCUUGGAAUUUUGACCUCUUUGGGAAAAUAAUAUUGUAUUUCACUGGGAGGAUAAAUUUUGAAUUGUAUGCCACAAGGCUGAUCCUUUUGUAAUGUCUUGGACAAUGUUUGUUGGGCAUACAUUUCUGUUGGAACAUGAUGAAUAUAACUUUGAAUUCAUCAUGUGUUUUGUAGUUGAACAACCAUAUAUUACUGAACACUUAUGGAAAUAACAAUUUGUAAUUCCUGUUGACAUAAUGCAUAUCAUUCCCUUGAUCCUAUACAUUUUUAGGUGAAAUUUCAUAGGUAUAAGCAUUUUCUAAUCUUUUCUGUGAUUCACAUUAAUGCCUGAUUUUCAAUGGAUGAAGUGUUGGCAGAUUUCCCACUCUGGUUAUAAUCAAUCUGGCGUUGGUUGAUACUUGGUGAGCUCAAAAGCAAACUUAUAGGUCUGUUAGGGCAGUAGCUCAAACAAGAAUUUUGUCUAGGAAGAGUAUAUUGUGCAAGAACCAUCUUAUUCAAUUUAGCAUCUUGCUUUUCAUAGGAGAUUUUGGUGGAUCAGUUUAAUUGCAAGUUUGCAACUACCUCAGCUGCCUGAAGUAGUUUGCAUUGUCAUUUGGGAAGGAAUCCUAGUGUAAGUUGUCAACACUAGAACAGGAUUUUAAGACCAGUGUUCCAAUAGUAUAUGAUCACCUUUUGACUUCUCUUGAAUUUAUUUCUUGGCAGCUGUUCCUCAAUGAAUAUGUAUAGGCUUGUGAAAUCAUUCAGUGGGGUUUGUUACUGGCUUGGAUUUAAGAUUGAUUUAGUCAAACUCAUUGAAGUAAGGAGGUAAAAGUGAAUAUUUCCAGUGAAUUUGUAAAAGGGAAAUAAGAACAAAUAAGAGAAGAAGGUAAAAAGAAUCUAUGAAAUAAAUCCUCUUUCACCUGGGAAAUUGAGGUCCAUGGACAUUUUAACAAAUGUAGCUACAAAUCUUUUUUUCGGAUGCUCCUCCUGAGUUCUAUACUCUAUAAAGGCGCAAUAUUGGUAUUCCAUUUUUAAAUCCUCGCAAACAGUACAUCUCUUCCCACUUCAAUAUACAUUCUUGGUUUGAAUAUUGUUAUCUAUUAGUUGGAUUUGCAUUAUUGUGUGUUUGGAUGUGCUAACUGCAAUCAUCCAUGAAAUCAAGCUUGUGCUAAUAAUAUUCCAUGGUUUCUUGAUUCGCAUGCGUACCCAUUGUGAUCUUGUACUCCUGCAGAAACAUUUGUGCGAGCAGAUGGAGCCUUCAUACCCUUUGCAGAAGAUUUUAACAUGACCAAUGUAACUACAUCUGUGAAAGGUGUAGGUGAGAUUGGUGAUGUCCAUAGUAUCGACUUGCAGUCUCCAAUUAACAGUCUCAUUGGAAGGCAGGUUGUCAAAGUUGGAAGAAGCUCCGGCUUGACUACUGGAACCAUAAUGGCAUAUGCUCUAGAAUAUAAUGAUGAAAAAGGAAUUUGUUUCUUUACUGAUUUUCUUGUUGUUGGAGAGAACCAGCAGCCAUUUGAUCUUGAAGGUGAUAGUGGAAGCCUCAUUCUCUUGACAGGUCAGAAUGGUAACAGACCAAGGCCAGUUGGGAUUAUUUGGGGUGGGACAGCUAAUCGAGGUAGGUUGAAGCUUAAAGUUGGCCUACCCCCAGAAAACUGGACUAGUGGAGUUGAUCUUGGGCGCCUGCUUGACCUCCUUGAACUUGAUCUCAUCACUACCAAUGAAGGGCUUCAAGCUGCAGUGCAGGAUCAAAGAAAUGCAUCUGCAGCGGGAUUAGAUUCUACAGUGGGGGAGUCAUCUCCACCUGAUCGGGUGCUAUCGAAAGUUAGAAUUGAAGAAAACUUUGGGCCUCUAAAUUUAAAUAUUCAGCAAGUUUUAGUUGAAGGAGAAUCCCAACAAGGACUGACUAGACCUUUCCUUCACGCCGAGUUUCAUAUAGAAGAUGGGGUAGAAGCAGUUCCGAAUGUGGAACACCAGUUCAUUUCAAGUUUUGCAGGGAGAUCUCCAGUUCACGAAAAAAACCAACUGGAAAAUGUGGAAUUAAAAAACCUCUCAGAAUUAAAGAAUGGCUCGGAUGAGGAGAUAUAUGUAUCAUUGCAGCUGGGUGAGCCCGAACCAAAGAGAAGAAGACAAUCAGAUGAGUCUUUUAGUCAUUGAAGAAUCCAAAUUAAGGAACAAGGGGAUUUCCAAUGUGGCUUGGAGAAACUCCUUUCAAAGAUGAGCUUGCAAGGCUGUCUCCUUGUACUUGCUUGGACUUUAAAAUUCUAAGUUGUAAGUAUCCUGAAGCAUUAAAUUGCAAAAAAGGAAAUUUUAAGGUUCAUGCCUUAAAGGCUUAAAGUAGGUCAAGUAUCAUUCUUUUUUUCCCUGUUUGGGUCAAGGUUACAAGUUUAGGUUACAUAUGUGGGUCAUACAUCUAGCAGGAAAAAAAAUGUUUAGGCAGUGCCUUUAUUUAAAUGUCUUUCAUUUACCCUUUUUUUUUUUUUUUAAUUGUACCAUAAGUACUCCUAAAAAGUGAGUAUGAACAGCAAGUGAAACAUAAAUGUUAUUUGUGCAAGCAACCUUGGUUUUAACUUUUUU